RNAcentral lists this long non-coding RNA (1724 nucleotides) under Homo sapiens (human). Its description in RNAcentral is "HSALNT0375278". Lineage: Eukaryota; Metazoa; Chordata; Mammalia; Primates; Hominidae. The record is from RNAcentral.
CUGGGGGUUAAGGCUUCAACCUGUGAAUUUGCGGGACACCAUUCAGCCCAGAGCACUGACUGGUGCUAGUUAUAUUUGUGUGUCUGGCUGUACCCUGUGAUCACCUGGUUGAUGUCAUGUUCCUGAACUUUUGUGAGUGCAAGAGAAGAGAAGUUUCUCAGGCUGAGAAAAAAACAUCAGUGUGGGGGAAGAUUUGGGACCCCUGUCUGCAUCUACCUGGACUCUCAUUAAACAGAUGAUGUGAUGAAGCAAUCAGAAAGCCUGGCCAGCUGCUCACCUCCAGGGCAGCUUCUUGGGAAGACAGUGAACAAUUCUGGGGGUUAAGAACUGUUUUUAAAAGAAAACACUAGGGAGGCUGGGGCAGGAGGAUCGUUUGAGGCCCAGGAGUUGGACGCUGCAGCUAGCUAUGAUUGUACCACUGCACUCCAGACUGGGUGACAGAGCAAGACCUUGUCUCUAAAAAAUAAAUAAAUUAACCUUUAAAAACCAAGCGCAAGGUUAGCCUUCCACUGAACCCCACCGCUGUCCAGCAUCUCGUGUCUUGGUGCCCGCUCUGAGGCAGGGUUGGAUGUGGUUUGCAGCAGGCCUUCCAGGGCUGGUUUUCAUCCUGACUUCAUGGCUGAUGCUGGCUGACCCAGGAGCCUGGCUCCCUCCCUCUAGGCCAUGUGGCACUGUGACCCGCUCCCUGGGGCCAUGGCAACUGAGGGGAGAAGUGAAUGCUUUGCUUUGGGCUUUACUCUGUAAAUUCUGCUCAUAGGGAACGCUCUGGAUCGUUGCCCAGAUUUCUCCCGUCUUCUCUGGGCCAGCCCUUUCCUCAGGUGGAGCUGGGAAAAGAGGCCAAGGACGCAGCUCUGGGAGACGACCUUCCAGGGCAGCCUUGGAACACCAUGUCCCCAGCAUCUCUGCUGGCAGGACCGCCAUGCAUGAGUGGGAAAUCGCUCACAACCUGCUCCCAUCCAAGAAUGACCAUUAAUGUCUAUUUUGGCCACUUCUCAAGUAAUUGUCAAAGCCCAGCUGGGAGAUGCCCGCACACAGAGCCCUGGGCCCAGGCCACAGGGGCACACCGUUCCUACCUUCCUUUGAAUCAAUUGUUUCAUUUAAACUCAAAGCAAAAUAUUUAAACAGACCAAGUAAUAUUUCUUUUUCUAAUCCAGGUGUGCACACGUGCGUGAGCCCUGUGUUUUCCCUUUCUGCCUCCACUUUUACAGAUCUGUGAAGUGGGGCAUUCGGCACGGUGGUGGUGAGACACAUGGGGUCUGGGGGCCAGGCUCCUACAUCCUCACUGUGCUGACUGCAUAGACCAGGGGCAGCCUGGGAAGAAGAGGCACCAGGCGGCAGAACAGGCCAGAUUGUGUCCAGGAAUUGAAAAAGCAUGUGUAUUUUUCUCAUCCCUUAUGUUUAGAGAAAAAAUAUUUAUUGCUACUUCUUUCUUAAAGCUUCAUUUUUAGUUAGCUUCUUAUGAGUUCCACAUAUGGAAACGUUUCCAUAUUUUCACAAAUCUAAGUUAAUGAUACCUUUACAACCAGCCCCCCAAUGCCCAAGUGGCCUCCAGAAGAUGACGAAUAACAUAAAUGAAAUAAAAUCAUCAGCUGAAGAAAACGUCUAAUGUAUUUGUUUCUAAAAAUUCUUGUGGUUGACUCUAUUUUAUUUAAUUUUUGGAUGGGGAGAGAGUUGUCUUGUUUGUUGCAAAUUUAUCUUUAGGUCUGAGAGAACAAAACACCCGG